GAAAUGCGAUAAGUAAUGUGAAUUGCAGAAUUCAGUGAAUCAUCGAAUCUUUGAACGCACCUUGCGCUCCUUGGUAUUCCUUGGAGCAUGCCUGUUUGAGUAUCAUGAAAUCUUCAAAGUAAAUCUUUUGUUAACUCAAUUGGUUUCUACUUUGGUAUUGGAGGUCUUUGCAGCUUCACACCUGCUCCUCUUUGUUCAUUAGCUGGAUCUCAGUGUUAUGCUUGGUUCCACUCGGCGUGAUAAGUUAUCUAUCGCUGAGGACACUGUAAAAGGUGGCCAAGGUAAAUGCAGAUGAACCGCUUCUAAUAGUCCAUUGACUUGGACAAUACUUUUAUGAUCUGAUCUCAAAUCAGGUAGGACUACCCGCAGAACUUAAGC
RNAcentral lists this unclassified non-coding RNA (378 nucleotides) under plant metagenome. RNAcentral's name for it is "partial contains 5.8S ribosomal RNA, internal transcribed spacer 2, and large subunit ribosomal RNA". The stretch from base 1 to 105 matches the Rfam family "5.8S ribosomal RNA", at positions 50 to 154 of the family's 154-position model. The record is from RNAcentral.